This is a long non-coding RNA of Homo sapiens (human), 880 nucleotides long. The record is from Ensembl. Lineage: Eukaryota; Metazoa; Chordata; Mammalia; Primates; Hominidae.
UCAAGUUUCCCUACACCAUGAAUGGCCUGAUGGUAAGUGUUGACUGGUCACUAAAGGCUUUGCCACACUCAUUACACUUGUAAGGUUUCUCUCCAGUAUGAAUUCUCCUAUGUCUUUUAAGGCGUGAUCUGUGACUGAAAACUUUGUCACAUGCUUCACAUUUGUAAGGUUUCUCUCCAGUAUGAAGUCUAUGAUGACGUGAAAGGUGUGACUGUACAUUAAAAGUCUUCCCACAUUCAUUACACUUGUAAGGUUUCUCACCACUAUGAAGUCUACGAUGGCAUGGAAGAGAUGACCUGUGACUGAAGGUCUUGUGACACUCAUUACACUUGUAAGGUUUCUCUCCAGUAUGAAUUAUCUUGUGUCUCUCAAGGUUUGAUUUCUGACUGAAAACUCUGUCACAUUCUUCACAUUUGUAAGAUUUCUCUCCAGUAUGAAGUCUAUGAUGACGUGCAAGGCUUGACUGAUGAAUAAAAGCCUUACCACAGUCAUUACACUUGUAAGGUUUCUCUCCAGUAUGAAGUCUAUGAUGACGUGAAAGGUGUGAUUGUUGAUUAAAAGCCUUGCCACAUUCAUUACACUUGUAAGGUUUCUCUCCAGUAUGAAUUGCCUUAUGAAUUACAAGGGUUGAAUUUUGACCAAACAUCUUGCCACACUCAUUACACUUGUAAGGUUUUAUUCCAGUAUGAAGUCUACGAUGGCAUCUAAGGGAUGACUUGUAACUGAAGGACUUUCCACAUUCAUUACACUUGUAAGGUUUCUCACCAGUGUGACACCUAUGAUGGCAUGUAAGGGAUGACUUGUAACUGAAGGACUUUCCACAUUCAUUACACUUGUAAGGUUUCUCACCAGUGUGACAUCUACGAUGGCAUGUCAGGGA